Molecule: ribosomal RNA, 404 nt
Filed under: Actinomycetes bacterium
Lineage: Bacteria; Bacillati; Actinomycetota; Actinomycetes
Description: Actinobacteria bacterium partial 16S ribosomal RNA
Rfam family: Bacterial small subunit ribosomal RNA
Source: RNAcentral
UGGGGAAUAUUGGACAAUGGGCGCAAGCCUGAUCCAGCCAUGCCGCGUGAGUGAUGAAGGCCCUAGGGUUGUAAAGCUCUUUCACCGGUGAAGAUAAUGACGGUAACCGGAGAAGAAGCCCCGGCUAACUUCGUGCCAGCAGCCGCGGUAAUACGAAGGGGGCUAGCGUUGUUCGGAUUUACUGGGCGUAAAGCGCACGUAGGCGGACUAUUAAGUCAGGGGUGAAAUCCCGGGGCUCAACCCCGGAACUGCCUUUGAUACUGGUAGUCUUGAGUUCGAGAGAGGUGAGUGGAAUUCCGAGUGUAGAGGUGAAAAUCGUAGAUAUUCGGAGGAACACCAGUGGCGAAAGCGGCUCACUGGCUCGAUACUGACGCUGAGGUGCGAAAGCGUGGGGAGCAAACAGG